CCUACGGGAGGCAGCAGUGAGGAAUAUUGGUCAAUGGACGGAAGUCUGAACCAGCCAUGCCGCGUGCAGGAAGACGGCUCUAUGAGUUGUAAACUGCUUUUGUACAAGGGUAAACCUGAAUACGUGUAUUCCGCUGAAAGUACUUUACGAAUAAGGACCGGCUCACCCCGUGCCAGCAGCCGCGGUAAUACGGAGGAUCGAAGCGUUAUCCGGAUUUAUUGGGUUUAAAGGGUGCGUAGGUGGAUUGAUAAGUUAGAGGGGAAAUGGCCGAGCUUAACUCGGGAACGGCCUCUAAUACGGUUGGGCUAGGGAGUAGAUGCGGUAGGCGGAAUGUAUGGUGUAGCGGUGAAAUGCUUAGAGAUCAUACAGAACACCGAUUGCGAAGGCAGCUGACCAAUAUAUAUCUGACGUUGAGGCACGAAAGCGUGGGGAGCAAACAGGAUUAGAUACGUAGUC
RNAcentral lists this ribosomal RNA (456 nucleotides) under uncultured bacterium. RNAcentral describes it as "partial 16S ribosomal RNA". It matches the Rfam family "Bacterial small subunit ribosomal RNA", at positions 338 to 795 of the family's 1533-position model. The record is from RNAcentral.